This is a long non-coding RNA of Quercus lobata, 1881 nucleotides long. RefSeq lists it as uncharacterized. The transcript has 2 exons. The record is from RefSeq and is a predicted model, not a curated record. Lineage: Eukaryota; Viridiplantae; Streptophyta; Magnoliopsida; Fagales; Fagaceae.
AACGCCUCUUCUCUUUUACUGUUCCUUUCCUAGAUGGCUUCAAACAUUCUUUUUUAUUUAUUUAUUUAUUUUUAAUUUUGUUCGGUUUUUGUGAUUGAUAUUUUGUCAAUGUUGUAUUUAUAAUUUUACCAUAUUUUGUUGUUUUUUUAUUUUCGAGGUAAUGAAGAAUAAAGUCGUGAUAACAAUAAAAAUAAUAGUAUUUGAGUGAAAUACAUUUCUAUUAUAAAGUGAUUGAAAAAUCUCUAUGUGAUACAUACUUGUAUUUGGAAAUGGAUUCGGCUUACUUUUUUUAAUUGGAAUUUCAUUUUGUUUUAAAUAUAUUACAAAUGGAAUUGAGUUUUAAUUUUUAAUUUUUAUUUAGUAAGUAGAUGAUAUGACAGUUUUUCAUUCAAAUAAAAGUAGAUUUAACUUAAAAAGUUACUUGAGGCAGUUUUCCAUGAAGGGGAUUUGUGUUUUUGUAGUUGAUGACCUCUAUGGAAGAGUUGGGAUGUUGAGAAAUAGUAGGUGCCAACGUCUAAGUGAUGUGAGAAAUAAUAGGUGCCAUUAGAUUGUAAUGUCUUAUUUUUCUAUUGUUAAGUUGUAGCAACUGAUAUAAUAAGUUUAAUUAAAUUGGAUUCUAAUUGGUAUCCAGACGGCAUUAUUUUUUCAAGUUCAUAGAGGUUAGGAUUUCCUCAAAUCAAAUCUAAACUUUAUCUGGAUUUUUUUCAAAAUAACAUCAUUUUUCUAACAAUUUUGUUAGUUAGCAUCAUUUAAUAAUUAUUUAGGAAACUAACACCUUGGGUUUGUUAGGGUCGAAUUCAUUGUAGCAAAUCAAGUGGAAAAGUCUCAAGUUCGAGGGAAUUUGCUCUUUUUCCUUGUUUCCUUUUCCUUCCUUCGUUCUUCAUUCUUCAGAGGCCAAACCAAAUCAAGAACAAACCCACAAAGACAAAAUCAAGAACAACCUUAACAACCCAAAAACAAACCCAGAAAAACCCACCUACCGCAAAAACCACACUCACUUUAGGAACAAAUUCACAAAUCACAAAAAUGGUUUUGGUUCGGGAUGAGAGAGAUGAGCUAGAGAUUGGACCACUGCCAAUGGUGCCGAGGAUGGUCGGAGGAAGAGCCAAGGAGCUCAGCCACGAAAGUUCAGAGAGCAAAGGAUUGAGUUCAUUGUUUUUGAUGGAUCUGGGUUGGUUGUUUCCUUCUUUGUUGAUUUGCGGCCUUCUUUGUGAUCUCUACUCUUUCUUCUUAGUGAGUUUGUGGAACUCGAGUCUUAGACUUGAUUUCCACAUUGAUUUUCAUAGAAAUCGAGUUUUUGAUACUUGAGUUGCUACACUAAAACCGAGUCGAAGGCAUUCGAGAUGAUAGUUUUCUAAAUAAUUUGGAAACAAUACUAACUAACGAAAUUAUUUGAAAAUUAGUGUUAUUUUGAAAAAAAUCUCACUUUAUCUCUUUGUUAUCUUUUGUUCUUGUUACAUAUCAAGUGUUUCAUUAGAUUUAGCCAAAAAAAAAAAAGUGUUUCAUUAGAAACAACCAAAAUUCUAUUUCCUAUCCCCUAAAUAUUUAUAUGUUUGAAAAUUGGUGUUAUUCCCACGUUAUCUCUUUGUUAUCGUUUGUUCUUGUUACAUAUCAAGUGUUUCAUUAGAUUUAGCCAAAAAAAAGGUGUUUCAUUAGAAACAACCAAAAUUCUAUUUCCUAUCCCCUAAAUAUUUAUAUUUUCUCUCUCCAAAUUGGAUCCUAAUUGGUUUUCCGGCAUCAUGUUUUUCUCUAUCAAAUCCAAAAGGUUCAUAGAGGUAUCACUAUGUUGUAGCCGCCUCUCACAAAACAAGGCAAUUAAUAGAGAUAAUUACAAUACAUCAUCAACGUUUAACAGUCCAAGUUAGACAUAAAUCAAGGAGG